This 88-nucleotide transfer RNA is filed under the name Pleurosigma inscriptura. Its description in RNAcentral is "tRNA-Ser". It matches the Rfam family "tRNA". Rfam says of the family: Transfer RNA (tRNA) molecules are approximately 80 nucleotides in length. Lineage: Eukaryota; Bacillariophyta; Bacillariophyceae; Naviculales; Pleurosigmataceae. The record is from RNAcentral.
AGAGGAAUGGCUGAGUGGCUUAAAGCGAAGGUUUGCUAAACCUUUAUAUAGUAUAUCUAUAUCGUAGGUUCGAAUCCUUCUUCCUCUA